This 4055-nucleotide long non-coding RNA is filed under the name Triticum aestivum (bread wheat). Its description in RNAcentral is "long non-coding RNA (TAES_LNC027079)". The record is from RNAcentral. Lineage: Eukaryota; Viridiplantae; Streptophyta; Magnoliopsida; Poales; Poaceae.
CCGGAGUUGCGGUUAUUCCUAACCCUAACUCUAUACUUGUGGUUACUUGUUGUGAUUGCUCUUACUUACAUCGUAUUGUGCUUGCUCUCUUAUAUGCUUGUGUCAACUGCCUAGUACUUUGUACUUACUAGCAAUUGUUAGGCUCACUUUCAUAUUCCGCUCUAUUGCCUAAAAUUGCUUAGUAAUAAUUAAAAUUUGUAAUUGUACCUAUUCACCCCCCCCCCUCUAGGUCCAUCUCGAUCCUUUCAUGUGUAUCUGGCACGAGCGGUCGAGUAUUCUGUCCAAAUUGGACGGACCUGGAGUAGUUCUUCUGAAUGGCUUUUUCCGCUGACCGGGUUUGGAGCCUCUGAAUCUGGCAUUGACUGUCGUAUCCUCAGUAUUGUCACCGUUAAUGCGGCGUUUGUGCCUGUUGCGACGCGACCUCCCGUUGUGAUCCUUGGUAUCCGGACUGCCAGAAUUUUUGCUGAGGUUGUUGCUGCGGGCUAGCCAGCUGUCCUCUCCCGCGCAGAAGCGGGUCAUGAGUGAUGUGAGGGCUGCCAUGGAUUUCGGCUUUUUCUGUCCCAAGUGCCGGGCAAGCCACUCGUCACGAAUGUUAUGUUUGAAGGCCGCGAGGGCCUUCGCAUCCGGACAGUCGACAAUUUGAUUUUUCUUAGUUAAGAACCGUGUCCAGAAUUGUCUGGCCGAUUCGUAUGGCUGCUGAAUUAUAUGGCUUAGGUCGUCAGCGUCUGGUGGUCGCACAUAUGUGCCCUGGAAGUUAUCAAGGAAUGCGGCAUCCAGGUCCUCCCAACACCCAAUUGAUUCUACUGGCAAGCUGUUAAGCCAAUGCCGAGCUGGUCCUUUAAGCUUGAGUGGGAGGAAUUUGAUGGCGUGAAGAUCAUCACCGCGGGCCAUGUGGAUAUGAAGGAGAUAGUCUUCGAUCCAAACCGUGGGGUCUGUUGUGCCAUCAUAGGAUUCAAUAUUCACGGGUUUAAACCCUUCGGGGAUUUGAUGAUCCAUUACUUCAUCUGUGAAGCAUAGUGGGUGUGUGGCGCCUCUGUAUUGGGCUAUAUCACAACGUAGCACAAAUGAGCUUUGUCUACUGUGUUCGGCCCGGCUGGACUUGCUGUGUCCGGCGCGAUGGUUGUCGUCGCGUAUCAUCGGGCGCCCACGCGAUUUGUAGAUCAAUCUUGGUUGUCUUGCCUUAUCCUCCAAUAUAUCUCGCAUGUCCGGAGCGUUCCCCUGUGGCUUUGUGCUUUUCGAGUGAUGCCGGGGUACGGUUUUAGUGGAGGGUCUAGAGGCCUCUCUAUCGCGGCCACGGGGGUGGUCGGUCAGCCGUAUUGUGCGCUGGUGAUGCAGGUUUAUAUGCCUCCUCCUCUAAUAGGGGGAGCAGCUUGCGUUUGGGGUAGCUUUUGGAGGGGCGUUCGACUUCAUGCUCUUCGGCCGCAAGGACUUCACUCCAUCUGUCGGCUAGCAGAUCUUGAUCAGCUCUAAGUUGUUGCUGCUUUUUCUUGAGGCUGCUUGCCAUGGCCAUGAGCCUGCGUUUAAAACGCUCUUCUUCAACGGGAUCCUCAGGCACGACGAAUUCGUCGUCGUCGAGGCUUGCCUUGUCUCCGGAGGGGGGCAUGUAAUUAUCAUCCUCUACCUCUUCGUCUGCCGCUCUCUCAUGAGGGCUGGCUUCUCCAUCCUCCUGUGCUGAAUCUUUCUGGAGGGGGUUGUAUUCGGCACUAUCUGGGGUGUUAUUAUCUCCGGUGCCGGAAUCUCCAUUCUUGGUGUGGCGGGAUUUAGAGCGGCGCCGCUGACGUCGGCGCUUAGGCUGUUUCUUGGAGGGGUCUUCCUCCGCUGUUCCCUCGCCAUUCCCAUCCUUUGGGAUAUCCACCAUGUAUAUGUCAUAUGACGAGGUGGCUCUCCAGUGCCCAGUAGGUGCUGGUUCUUAGUCGUCUCCAGCAUCGUCAUCCAUACCGUCGAUGUCUUCGGAGUCGAAGUCUAGCAUGUCGGUUAGAUCAUCGACAGUGGCUACUAAGUGGGUGGUGGGUGGGCUUUGAAUUUCUUCGCCGUCCGCAUCCCAACCAUCCUGACCGCAGUCCGGCCAGGGCUCUCCUGAUAACGAGAGAUACUUUAGCGAAUUCAGGACGUCGACGAAAGGUGAGUGUUGAAAAUGUCCGCAGCGGUGAACUCCAUGCUCGGUGCCCAAUCGGAUUUGAUUGGAGGGGGCGCGGGAGGUUCGGAGUCCGGCACCUUGGAGUCACGAGCUUCACAGGGGACAAGGUUAGUAUUCGGCUCCAUCGCCGUAGAGGUUGCAGCCCCCGAGGCGGUGUCUAGCCACCCGUCCUUGAUCUGCGCAGCCAGCUCCAAAUUAAGGGUCGGAGCGGAGUCGUGUGCGGCCUCCAGUGCACUGUCCGGCACCAGAGCUAAAUCAUGCCCAUCGUGACAGUGCGGCGCGCUCGGCUGUGGCUUGAAUCCGUCGAGGAUCAAGUCUCCGCGGAUGUCAGCCGUGAAGUUCAGACUUCCAAAUCUGACAUGACGGCUAGGGGCGUAGCUUUCGAUCUGCUCCAGAUGGCCAAGCGAAUUGGCCUGCAGUGCAAAGCCGCCGAAUACGAAGAUCUGUCCGGGGAGAAAAGUCUCACCCUGGACGACGUCGUUGUUGUUGAUGAUCUAAGGAGCCAUCGAGCCUAUCGAUGAUGACAUAGAGGAACUCUCAAUGAAAGCACCAAUGUCGGUGUCAAAACCGGCGGAUCUCGGGUAGGGGGUCCCGAACUGCGCGUCUAGGCGGAUGGUAACAGGAGACAAGGGACACGAUGUUUUUACCCAGGUUCCGUCCCUCUCGAUGGAGAUAAAACCCUACUCCUGCUUGAUUGAUAUUGAUGAUAUGGGUAGUACAAGAGUGUAUCUACCACGAGAUCAAGGAGGCUAAACCCUAGAAGCUAGCCCAUGGUAUGAUUGUUGUUCUGUCCUAUGGCUACAACCCUCCGGUUUAUAUAGACACCAGGGAGGGCUAGGGUUACACAGAGUCGGUUACAAUGGUAGGAGAUCUACAUAUCCGUAUCGCUAAGCUUGCCUUCCACGCCAAGGAGAGUCCCAUCCGGACAAGGGACGAAGUCUUCAAUCUUGUAUCUUCAUAGUCUUGGAGUCCGGCCGAUGAUGAUAGUUCGGCUAUCCGGACACCCCCUAGUCCAGGACUCCCUCAGUCUCACUCUUUGUCAGGAGAUGCUUGGCCGUACUAUGUCCAGUAGGAGGGGAAGAAGGCGACGAAGAAAUUCGUUCCCCACCCACCACCCACUUCAUAGCCACUGUCGAUGACGUAACAGACAUGCUUGACUUCGACUCUGAUGACACUAACAGUAUGGACGUCGGCGUAGGGGACGAUGCUGAACCACCGCCCACGGGGCGCUGGACUGCCACCUCAUCAUAUGAUAUAUACAUGGUGGACAUGCCUAAGGAGGACGAUGGCGACAAAACGGAGGAUAAAACCCCUGGGCAAAGGCCAAAACGACGGUGCAGACGCCGGUCUAAGACCAGCCACAGUAAAAACAACGAUAACAGCGCUAGAAAGAUCGACACCCCAGUCAACUCCAAAGGCAACAAUGACCAUAUGGACCAAGGGAUGGAGCAGGAUGAGCCAGGUCACGCCGAACACAGCUUGGAGCACACGCCCGAUCACAGUGAUCCCAAGGGCCAAACUCAUCAACCUGCCCCAGGAGAGGAGCACAGUCCGGACGACGAUGCAUUCAUCAUCCCGGAAAAACAUUUGGAACGAGAUAACCUCCACAGAAGGCUUAUGGACACUGCGAGAAGUCUAAAGAAGCAGAAGCAAAGGCUUAAGGCCGCACAGGAAACACUCAAUCGCAGAUGGAAUAAAGUGCUAGACACCGAAGAAAAAUACGGCGACGAUCGCCACCCAAAGAGCUAUCCAAAGCACAAGUUGCUGCCAGAAUUCGACGAUCAGGCCAUUCCACCGGAGAACAAUAUGGCCAGUACCCCAGACCAACCACUUCAUGACCACAAUAGAGAAGCUAUUGACACAACCCAUGAUUUACGUGAGCUCCUGGAUAAAAAAUUUGGCGCGACUAGGUCCAUCU